RNAcentral lists this unclassified non-coding RNA (235 nucleotides) under uncultured fungus. RNAcentral describes it as "sequence contains ITS1". The record is from RNAcentral. Lineage: Eukaryota; Fungi.
GUAUUGUAUUGCGUUAAACGCAUCAUGCAUUCCAUAAGACUUUAUUACAGUGUGUGUGUGUAAAGAUGUAGAACCGCAGCAAGAGGACGGAGCCCCCCAGGCCAUAGAACUACAGUGGGUGCACAGGUGUGAGUGGAUGUGUAAAACAGAGCGUGCACAUGCCCCCGUUUGAGGACCAGCAACAACUCGUGUCAACAAUUCGGUAAUGAUCCUUCCGCAGGUUCACCUACGGAAA